RNAcentral lists this long non-coding RNA (4506 nucleotides) under Sus scrofa (pig). Its description in RNAcentral is "lncRNA (ENSSSCG00050021233.1)". The record is from RNAcentral. Lineage: Eukaryota; Metazoa; Chordata; Mammalia; Artiodactyla; Suidae.
AUUGUCUGGUUUUAGUAUUGGGAUAAUACUGGCCUCAUAAAAUAAGUUGGGAUCUAGAAGAGAUUACAUAAAGUUGGUGUUAAUUCUUUAAGUAUAUGGUAGAAUUCUCCAGUAAAACCGUCUGGGCCUGGUGAUUCCUUUUGGGGAGGUCUUUACAUUAUGAAUUAAAUUCUUCAGUAGCUAUAGGACUAUUCAGAUUCUCUCUUUCAUAUUGAGUGAAUUGUGGUAGUUCAUCAUUUUUGAAGAAUUGGUCUGUUUCACCUAAGGUUCAUUCCUUCUUUUAUGACUUGAUGACUACUCUGUAUUUGAAGAACCUCCUUUAGUCAUUCUUUAAGGGUAGGUCUUCUAGCAACAAAAGUUAAAGUUUUCCUUCAUGUGAGACUGUCUUUAUUCGUCCAUCAUUCCCAAUGAAUGAUUUUGCUGGAUAAAGAAUUUGCACUUGACAGUUCUUUACUUUCAGCACUUGAAAAAUAUUGCAUCACUUCCUUCUGGCCUUGGUGGAUUCAGAUGAGUAUCCACAUUGGUGUUUUCCUGUAGGUAAUCUAUUGUUUCUCUGGCUACUUUCAAGAUUUUUCUCUGUAUUUAGUUUUGAGAAGUUUAUGAUGUAUUCUGGUGUGGAUUUCUUUGAGUUUACUUUAUUUGGAAUUUGUCAUCUUUUUGACUCUGUAGAUUUAUGUCUUGCAGCAAAUUUGGGAUGUUUUAAGCCAUUAUUUCUUAAAAUACUCUUUCAGUCCACUCUCUUUCUCCUAUCCCUCUAGGAUUCCAAAAAUAAGAUUAUUGGACAUUUUCUUACUGUUCCACAGGUGCCUGUUAAUUUUUUUUUUUCAGGCUUUUUUCUCUCUCAUUGUUUUUUUUUCCUCACUCAAGUUGUAAUUUUCCUGAUUCUUGGUCUGAUGGUCUGAUGAGUGAUUUUUCCAUUGUAUUCUGGACACUUUGGCUAUUAUGUUAGGAGUUUCUAAAUUCUAUUUAAAUUUUUUAUUCUUGAAGACAGUCAUACUGUUUAGGUUUAGUAUGUUAGAUCCAGGCUACAUAGACUGCAUCUCUGUAUGUAGAUCUUACCAAUUCAUUGGUAAUUUAAUUUUUAAGCCUGGUGCCACUGGGACUCACACUGGCCUGCUGGUACUGCCUGAGGGAGCAGAAGUAGUUCCCUUGAGAUGGAGGGAGAGUGUCUCAUUCCUAGGCACAGAGAUGCUUUCUGUGCUUGGCUGUUGUGUUGAGAUUCACCUUACGGGUGCUGCCCAGAUGCCCAGUGUCUCUGGAUGGGGGAGGGAGUCCCUAGCCUGUGGAAACAAAGGCUCAGUAUUGUUGUGGGGGGAUUCCUCCUGCAGGUGCUGCCUGGCCGCCUGGUCCCUCUAGGUGGAGAGGGGAAUCUUAGGCCGUGUGGGGGGCGGGGGCAGGAAUAUUCCAAGAAUCUCUUUGUGGUGGAAUUCUCCUUAUUGGAGUCACCUCCUUCCCUCCCCCACCACGUUUCUCUGUGCAGGUUAGAAUUCUUACCUGACUGGGAGGCGAAUGCUUCUCCUGGCCACUUACCAUCAGCAGUGGUCCCCAUCAGUCCCCAUUGCUUAGCUCACAUGGUGUUGCCAACAGGACUCCCUUUUGAUUCAGGGGAGGAACAAGCCUACCUGGGCCUCCUUCUGUUGCUAGGUUGAGAAUCAGGAAACGCCGGGCCUGGGCCGCCUUUUGCUCUUGAGCAGGAGACCCUAAGGCACCCUGCUGCUCUGCUGUCCCUUGAGUCCCAGGGUCCCUAGCCAUCUACCUUCCUCUGCGCAGCUUUCACAAUUCUUUGCUUGACUCUUGCCUUAUUUCUAGGGUUGGUAGUUGCACUUAAUGGGGAGGAGCUCAGGGAAAAAGCAUCCAUGCCAUCUUGUUCGGACUCAUAUACUUUUUGUUUAGCUUUCAUUCUCCUUCUGUAUUUGUUUUUCCUCCUGUAUUUGAAAAGCUUUGCGAAUGCUCCUGCGAGCAAGUGGUAUCCUCUUGCUCUAGGGUACAGAUGUAUCUGACCAAGGUGAAAACUCCAGGAGCAUUUAUUUUGCUAGUGAGGAGUAAUUUCAUUGUAAAAAUACAAAAACAAAAGUCUAAGCCCCCAUGCAUGAGAGAAUAAAGGGGAGGGGGUGCCGCAGCCCCUCUGUGGGGAUGUUGGGCUAAGCUGGCAUGCCCACUCCUCUCUGGCACUGCGCCUGUGGUCAGUGCUUGUCCUGACCGAAGGGGAGGGUUAUGGCCAUCUGGCCUUCCAGUUUCAGUGGCUUGAAGCAGAGCCCAGGAGCCCUCAGUCAGGGGACUAUCUUUGGAUUAUCUCAAGGUAAUUCUUAUAUUUUGGGUGCUGAAAAGGAAUGGAAAAAUGUGUGGAAAUCACUUCAAGAUUAGCGGGAGUUAGUAGAGAAGCAGAUGAGAUCUCUACCUGAUGGACUUUUUUGCUUGUUUUCCCUAUAAAAAUGGACGCUUACAUUGCUUUCUGCGUGGAAAUAUAACCCAGCACCAAAUUUGUCCUGUCAGGCAGGAUGUGGUCCAUUAGUCAGACCGGUUCCAUUAUACACUGUAUUGUAGAGGAAACAGUUUUGUUUCUCCUCCUUCUCUCAGAUCCUUUCUCUAAUGUUGAGCAGGUAGGAAGAUGUGAGAUGCCUGGAUUGCCUCUGGGUUCUGAAUGGUUUGGGUCAAGCAAAGCAACUUUGGAUCCGUUUUUUAUUUUACCCAGAAUUGCGCUUAAUUCUUCUGAUAGAAGAAGCUGUUGACCAUUCCUCGCUUUGCAGAAGUCCGUGGAGUUGAAGGUGCCUUAAGGAAAGAAUCUGAAAUACAUUGAUUCUGGCUCUACUCAUUUAAUGGCUAAACAAUGGCUAAACAAUUGAUUAAGUUUCUGUAUUUUCUGUUUUGUGUAAGACAUUUUCAUUUUAAAUGAAAAUGAGUUUGAUACUAAUACAGGUGGCUGGACAUAUUGUCAAUUUAAGUAUCUAAAAAAACUAACCUUUGAUUGUCCUUCAUGUCCUCAUGCUAAGCAGUCACUACUUUUGAGCUAUUUAAAUAUGUUCUAAAUAUCUACCACCAUGUUUUCAAAAUCCUAACUGCCAUUGGCGUGACCCCCUGGGACUCAGAUUCCUCUGUGGGGUGGGUCUUGUGUGCCCUGCGCUGAGGGGCUCUCACGCUGCAGACGAGGCUUUCUCGUGGUUAGGACUUGGGUCUGAGUCCAUGGGAUGGUUUUGAAUCUGCUUCCACUGUUGACUUUGGGCCUGGGUGAGUGUGACCUCCCCGGCCUCCGUUUCCUCAUCCGUAGGCAAGGGGAGUACAGCACUUGUGUGUCAAGGUGCUGCCAGUACCAAAUGCAACAAUGGAUGCAAAGCAUGCGAAGCAUGCAAAGCGCUGAGGCCAUCAUCCUGCUUCUGGCAACACAUGGGACUGUUGGGUGGUGGAUGGUUACUGUCACUGCGAGUUGGGGUUCUUUUUGGGGGUGGAUGGUUACUGUCACUGUGCGACCAAAGGAAAGUAAGUGUGACCGUGGGAAUGAAAAUAAAGACUUAGAGAUAAAGCGCCCUUGGCGUUGUUACCCAUCACCAGGAUCUUGAUACUCCGGACAGGUGAUAAAAAUACCACCUCUGAAUGCUCAGCUUGCUGCCUCCUUGCCCUGAGUGGCCGUCUGGCUCUGAGACCUGUUUUCCACCACCUCGGAUGCUGGCCCCCGCCCUGCUUCCCGCAGGGGGAGACUUCUCCUCAGCCUCUGUGGUUACGCUCUUCAAAGCAGCGGUCACAUUAGCCAUUGGACACUCAGGUUCCCCAUCUGAUCUGUUUCUAAAAGGUAUGGCUUUAAAGAGUGGGCAUUUGUUUUUGUUUUUGUUUUUUGUCUGUUUGCCUUUUCCAGGGCUGCUUCCCUCGGCCGGUGGAGGUUCCCAGGCUAGGGGUCGAAUUGGAGCCGUUGCUGCCGGCCUACACCUCAGCCACAGCCACACCAGACCCGAGCCGCGUCUGCGACCUACCCCACAGCUCACGGCAACGCCGGAUCCUGAACCCACUGAGCGAGGCCAGGGAUCGAACCCGCAACCUCAUGGCUCCUCGUCGGAUUCGUUAACUACUGUGCCACGUGGGGAACUCCCCAAGAGUGGGCAUUUGUGAUGACCGAUUUUGCUGUACUUUGUUAUGAAGAGAAGAUGAUGUUAAUACCUAAUGAGUAAUGAAAAAUCAAUUAAAUUCAUUUAGGGAAAUUAAAGUGCUGACAAACUCAUAAUGGCUCUUCUGUUGUUAAAUGAGAUUGACAUGGAUUAACAGUUGGUGGUGGACAGAAACCUGCUGAAUUUCCUGGAGUAUAUUUCCAUUAAAAUGACAGCUGUGUGGGAGAGCUGUCACCAGGGCAUUUAGUUAUGGGGCCCGGGAGUGUGAAGGAGAGAAGUAAUCAGAUGAGACACCUUGUACUUAAUUUUAAUUAGGUACAUUCCCCUUCACGCUGUAAUCACUUAAACUCAGUCACGGAUGGUGUAGAAGCCAGCGGCCGGCCAUCUUACUGUCUCACUCUGUGUUCUUUUU